GAAGAAACAAAUUGUGCAGGGGUAGGUGUAUCAACAUUGUUGGACGAGUCUUGGUUUUCUGCUGAUAGCUUUUUACACCGACUAUGUAAGGAUUUCUUUUUGUUGGUGCAAGAUGCCUUGGUGGUUGAUGGAGAUCUUUUGAUGUGGACCAGGAGUCUCAAAGAACUGCUUGAGACCAGUCUGGGAUGGGAGUUCCAGCAGAACAGUGCAGUGGAUGGAAUGUACUUUGAAGACGAUGACGAGUAUGCUCCUGUUGUUGAGAUGAUGGAUGACACCAACUAUAAUGAAGCUGAAGCAGCUUAGACCAGAAAAAUAGAACCCUCCCUUCACUGUGUUUAACAAAUAUCAGUAU
RNAcentral lists this unclassified non-coding RNA (352 nucleotides) under Hevea brasiliensis (rubber tree). Lineage: Eukaryota; Viridiplantae; Streptophyta; Magnoliopsida; Malpighiales; Euphorbiaceae. The record is from RNAcentral.